GACGAACGCUGGCGGCGUGCCUAAUACAUGCAAGUCGAACGCUUUUUCUUUCACCGGAGCUUGCUCCACCGAAAGAAAAAGAGUGGCGAACGGGUGAGUAACACGUGGGUAACCUGCCCAUCAGGAGGGGAUAACACUUGGAAACAGGUGCUGAUACCAUAUAACACUAUUUUCCGCAUGGAAGAAAGUUGAAAGGCGCUUUUGCGUCACUGAUGGAUGGACCCGCGGUGCAUUGGCUAGUUGGUGAGGUAACGGCUCACCAAGGCAACGAUGCAUAGCCCGCCUGAGAGGGUGAUCGGCCACACUGGGACUGAAAAACGGCCCAGACUCCUACGGGAGGCAGCAGUAGGGAAUCUUCGGCAAUGGACGAAAGUCUGACCGAGCAACGCCGCGUGAGUGAAGAAGGUUUUCGGAUCGUAAAACUCUGUUGUUAGAGAGGAACAAGGAUGAGAGUAGAACGUUCAUCCCUUGACGGUACCUAACCAGAAAGCCACGGCUAACUACGUGCCAGCAGCCGCCGUAA
This 523-nucleotide ribosomal RNA is filed under the name uncultured bacterium. RNAcentral describes it as "partial 16S ribosomal RNA". It matches the Rfam family "Bacterial small subunit ribosomal RNA", at positions 28 to 523 of the family's 1533-position model. The record is from RNAcentral.